This is a long non-coding RNA of Terrapene triunguis (Three-toed box turtle), 1836 nucleotides long. RefSeq lists it as uncharacterized. The transcript has 3 exons. The record is from RefSeq and is a predicted model, not a curated record. Lineage: Eukaryota; Metazoa; Chordata; Testudines; Emydidae.
UCUCCCAGUACGGCAGCUGCUAGUGGACAUGCCUCUACAGAAAGCACUGGUAACAACUGUUAAUUUACUGACGAGUCACAACAACAGAAUUUUCUCUCCUGACCUGAAUCUUCUCAAAACAGCAAAUGAAGAGAUUGUUCAUGAUGCUUGUGCUGUAGGAAAGAAAAAAAGGGAAAAGGAGCCUCACAUAGCAUUUGCCUCCUGCUGCCAGACGCAGAAGCAAGACGCCGGAACCACUGAGUCGUACCUGAGUCUCCCAUGUGUAUUACUUAUGUCAAACGUGUUACACGAAGGAGCAAUUCCAUAUUCAGGAGGCAGAAGAAGGUCCUGCUCCUGGCACUUGGGAAUCCCGAUUAUCCAAGAAAGCUGCACUUACGUUAUCUUCUAUCAGAAAUAAGUUCCGCAGUCAAGAAAGGGGUAAGCAAAAAAGCUUUUUCGAUGGGGGAGCAUUUUUAGUGGUCACAUUCACUGAAAGGUUACAACCGUGUUCAGCAAAGUACUUAAGGAUAUACUUAACUUUAAGCAUGUGAGUAGUCCCAUUAAGUUAAAGAACUACUCAUAUGGCUAACAUUAAGCAUGAGUGUAAAUAUUUUGCUGUAUCAAGGUCUUUAUCAGUAGAUACACCACCAGGCCCAUGGAUCUGGAAGGGUAACUUGAAAUAGCUCUGUAUUUUACUGAAAAUUUAAGUACAAAUAUAAGGGGUUAAAAUGUUUCCACUGAGGUCAUUACUCUUGUUAGGAAAAGAUCAAUUAUAUUUGUCAUAAUGCCAGUCAAUGGGACAAACAUUUAUAUUUCAAAAUGUCAGAGUAUUUCCAGUAUUAAUACAGAGCAUUCCAGUUCAUUCCAAAGGAGUUUAUUUUCGAAUUCUGUUCCCAUUAUUUGUGUGUGGAAUAGUUAAUGUAUAAGGUUCCAUUUCAAUAAAAUAUAUGGAGAUUAUGAGGCUGCCACAGCCACAGUGUGGGAGCCAGACAAUUUUUUUUUAUUGAAUCAGGUCAUAAAGCAGCAGUUCACAAAUGUACAGAGUUCUGAUAAAGAGCUAUAUAGCACAUAUAUUGUAAUUCAAUGCUGGCAGUGAAAGGAAGUAAUUAAAAACCAGGUACAAUUAUAGAAAAGGCACCAAGAGCACUGACCCCAGUUUUUUGCCACAAUCUUUGUGUUUACCCUUCUUUUAAAGACACCAGUUUAAAAGCUUCUCAUUUGUGAAUAUUUUUAGGCUUCACAAAAGCCUGGAGUUUAAACAUUUUAGUUGGUGGCCAGGAUCAAGUAAGAGCAACUAUUCCAAAACUAACCAUGUAAAAUUUACACCAACCAUUUGGAAAUUUUAAACUGGUACUAGCAACAUAAAGUCACAGAAGCAAUUUCUGAUUUCAGCUACACUUGUGUAAAUCCAGAGUAACUGCACUGACUUCAGGAGAUUUACUCCUGAUAUAUACUAGUGUAAUUAAGAUCAGGCCCCUAUUGUCUAAACUUCAUGACAAUUUUUAAUUAGUAUUUCAAUUUUAAAAGUACCUGAUUUCUUUGGCUCCUCACUAUGUGGAAAUAGCAAUAUACCAUGACACCCCUACAAGACCAGUUUGCAUCUUUUAAGUUUUACUUUUUAUUUUUUAAAAUUUUUGUGCAUUUUUAUUACAUUUUCUGACUUCCAGCAGGAGAUAUGAAAAUGUGAAACAUAUUUUCUACUUUCAUACUAUUUCUUUUUUCAGUUUAUGUUCAUUCUAAGUGUUCUUUAUUGGAGUGAGUGUAUGGUGUUAAGCUAGAUACGUUUUUGUAUUCUUAUGAUUAUCUGCUUUGCAAAAGUAACUUAAUUUUCUUAAGCAAUAUUAGCAUUCACAUUAC